RNAcentral lists this ribosomal RNA (1886 nucleotides) under Campylobacter jejuni. Its description in RNAcentral is "partial 23S ribosomal RNA". It matches the Rfam family "Bacterial large subunit ribosomal RNA", at positions 1 to 1843 of the family's 2925-position model. The record is from RNAcentral. Lineage: Bacteria; Pseudomonadati; Campylobacterota; Epsilonproteobacteria; Campylobacterales; Campylobacteraceae.
AAAAAAGGUAAGCUACUAAGAGCGAAUGGUGGAUGCCUUGACUGGUAAAGGCGAUGAAGGACGUACUAGACUGCGAUAAGCUACGGGGAGCUGUCAAGAAGCUUUGAUCCGUAGAUUUCCGAAUGGGGCAACCCAAUGUAUAGAGAUAUACAUUACCUAUAUAGGAGCGAACGAGGGGAAUUGAAACAUCUUAGUACCCUCAGGAAAAGAAAUCAAUAGAGAUUGCGUCAGUAGCGGCGAGCGAAAGCGCAAGAGGGCAAACCCAGUGCUUGCACUGGGGGUUGUAGGACUGCAAUGUGCAAGAGCUGAGUUUAGCAGAACAUUCUGGAAAGUAUAGCCAUAGAGGGUGAUAGUCCCGUAUGCGAAAAACAAAGCUUAGCUAGCAGUAUCCUGAGUAGGGCGGGACACGAGGAAUCCUGUCUGAAUCUGGGUCGACCACGAUCCAACCCUAAAUACUAAUACCAGAUCGAUAGUGCACAAGUACCGUGAGGGAAAGGUGAAAAGAACUGAGGUGAUCAGAGUGAAAUAGAACCUGAAACCAUUUGCUUACAAUCAUUCAGAGCACUAUGUAGCAAUACAGUGUGAUGGACUGCCUUUUGCAUAAUGAGCCUGCGAGUUGUGGUGUCUGGCAAGGUUAAGCAAACGCGAAGCCGUAGCGAAAGCGAGUCUGAAUAGGGCGCUUAGUCAGAUGCUGCAGACCCGAAACGAAGUGAUCUAUCCAUGAGCAAGUUGAAGCUAGUGUAAGAACUAGUGGAGGACUGAACCCAUAGGCGUUGAAAAGCCCCGGGAUGACUUGUGGAUAGGGGUGAAAGGCCAAUCAAACUUCGUGAUAGCUGGUUCUCUCCGAAAUAUAUUUAGGUAUAGCGUUGUGUCGUAAUAUAAGGGGGUAGAGCACUGAAUGGGCUAGGGCAUACACCAAUGUACCAAACCCUAUCAAACUCCGAAUACCUUAUAUGUAAUCACAGCAGUCAGGCGGCGAGUGAUAAAAUCCGUCGUCAAGAGGGAAACAACCCAGACUACCAGCUAAGGUCCCUAAAUCUUACUUAAGUGGAAAACGAUGUGAAGUUACUUAAACAACCAGGAGGUUGGCUUAGAAGCAGCCAUCCUUUAAAGAAAGCGUAAUAGCUCACUGGUCUAGUGAUUUUGCGCGGAAAAUAUAACGGGGCUAAAGUAAGUACCGAAGCUGUAGACUUGCACACAACUUAGAUUAUUUAAGUUUAGAAUAAGUAGUUUAAGUUGUGUGCAAGUGGUAGGAGAGCGUUCUAUUUGCGUCGAAGGUAUACCGGUAAGGAGUGCUGGAGCGAAUAGAAGUGAGCAUGCAGGCAUGAGUAGCGAUAAUUAAUGUGAGAAUCAUUAACGCCGUAAACCCAAGGUUUCCUACGCGAUGCUCGUCAUCGUAGGGUUAGUCGGGUCCUAAGUCGAGUCCGAAAGGGGUAGACGAUGGCAAAUUGGUUAAUAUUCCAAUACCAACAUUAGUGUGCGAUGGAAGGACGCUUAGGGCUAAGGGGGCUAGCGGAUGGAAGUGCUAGUCUAAGGUCGUAGGAGGUUAUACAGGCAAAUCCGUAUAACAAUACUCCGAGAACUGAAAGGCUUUUUGAAGUCUUCGGAUGGAUAGAAGAACCCCUGAUGCCGUCGAGCCAAGAAAAGUUUCUAAGUUUAGCUAAUGUUGCCCGUACCGUAAACCGACACAGGUGGGUGGGAUGAGUAUUCUAAGGCGCGUGGAAGAACUCUCUUUAAGGAACUCUGCAAAAUAGCACCGUAUCUUCGGUAUAAGGUGUGGUUAGCUUCGUACUAGGAUUUACUCCGAAAGCGAAGAAACUUACAACAAAGAGUCCCUCCCGACUGUUUACCAAAAACACAGCACUCUGCUAACUCGUAAGAGGAUG